This 300-nucleotide unclassified non-coding RNA is filed under the name Hevea brasiliensis (rubber tree). Lineage: Eukaryota; Viridiplantae; Streptophyta; Magnoliopsida; Malpighiales; Euphorbiaceae. The record is from RNAcentral.
GAAUAUAUCUUGCUUUCAACAACUGCUUGGGGAAGGGGUCUUUGAUCUUUCCAUGUCAGGAGUAAAAACUGAAGACUGUAAUACUUUGAAAAGGUUAACACUGUCCAAUCUGUCAAAAUCCAAAUGGAUGGAGCAUUAUCAUCAACUCAAGAAAUGUAAAAAUACUACUGGAAAGUCUCUUGUUGGAAGAGCACCAAAUGGCAUUACAUCAAAUAAUUUAAUUGCUACCAAGAGAUCACGUGACACCCUAGGUCAAAAAAUUCCAGAAGUGAAGGUGAUGAAGAGCCCCAAAAGGAUUAA